RNAcentral lists this transfer RNA (73 nucleotides) under Nocardioides lianchengensis. Its description in RNAcentral is "Nocardioides sp. D94-1 tRNA". It matches the Rfam family "tRNA". From Rfam's summary of the family: Transfer RNA (tRNA) molecules are approximately 80 nucleotides in length. Their secondary structure includes four short double-helical elements and three loops (D, anti-codon, and T loops). Further hydrogen bonds mediate the characteristic L-shaped molecular structure. tRNAs have two regions of fundamental functional importance: the anti-codon, which is responsible for specific mRNA codon recognition, and the 3' end, to which the tRNAs corresponding amino acid is attached (by aminoacyl-tRNA synthetases). tRNAs cope with the degeneracy of the genetic code in two manners: having more than one tRNA (with a specific anti-codon) for a particular amino acid; and 'wobble' base-pairing, i.e. permitting non-standard base-pairing at the 3rd anti-codon position. The record is from Rfam by way of RNAcentral. Lineage: Bacteria; Bacillati; Actinomycetota; Actinomycetes; Propionibacteriales; Nocardioidaceae.
GUGGGUAUAGCUCAGCUGGUAGAGCGCUGCCUUGUGGUGGCAGAUGUCGCGGGUUCGAGUCCCGUUACUCACC